Molecule: ribosomal RNA, 494 nt
Filed under: uncultured bacterium
Lineage: Bacteria
Description: partial 16S ribosomal RNA
Rfam family: Bacterial small subunit ribosomal RNA
Source: RNAcentral
GACGAACGCUGGCGGCGUGCUUAACACAUGCGAGUCGAACGGAAAGGCCUGCUUUCCCUUGUGGAUUGCGGGUACUCGAGUGGCGAACGGGUGAGUAACACGUGAGUGAUCUGCCCCCAACUUGGGUAUAAGCCUGGGAAACUGGGUCUAAUUCCCGAUAGGACUGCAGGGUGGUGCCUGUGGUGGAAAACGAUUUUCUAGUGGUUGGGGAUGAGCUCGCGGCCUAUCAGCUUGUUGGUGGGGUAAUGGCCUACCAAGGCGGCGACGGGUAGCCGGCCUGAGAGGGUGGACAGCCACAUUGGGACUGAGAUACGGCCCAGACUCCUACGGGAGGCAGCAGUGGGGAAUAUUGCACAAUGGGCGGAAGCCUGAUGCAGCGACGCCGCGUGGGGGAUGACGGCCUUCGGGUUGUAAACUCCUUUCGACCGCGAGGAAGCCACCUGGUUGGAAGGGUGGUGACGGUAGUGGUAGAAGAAGCACCGGCUAACUACGUG